GGGGCGGUGGCGGAAUCGGUAGACGCACCUGACUUAAAAUCAGUUGUCUUGAAAAAGACGUGAGAGUUCAAGUCUCUCUCGCCCUA
Molecule: transfer RNA, 86 nt
Filed under: Synechococcus phage S-CAM3
Lineage: Duplodnaviria; Heunggongvirae; Uroviricota; Caudoviricetes; Pantevenvirales; Kyanoviridae
Rfam family: tRNA
About the family: Transfer RNA (tRNA) molecules are approximately 80 nucleotides in length. Their secondary structure includes four short double-helical elements and three loops (D, anti-codon, and T loops).
Source: Rfam by way of RNAcentral